Molecule: transfer RNA, 82 nt
Filed under: Faecalibacterium sp. IP-3-29
Lineage: Bacteria; Bacillati; Bacillota; Clostridia; Eubacteriales; Oscillospiraceae
Description: Faecalibacterium sp. IP329 tRNA-Ser
Source: RNAcentral
GCAAUUUUGAAAAUUGACGAUUGUUGCACGUUGAUUUCUCUUAAUCAGUGGGCCCAGGGUUCGAGUCCCUGGAGGUGCACCA